Molecule: long non-coding RNA, 320 nt
Organism: Mya arenaria
Lineage: Eukaryota; Metazoa; Mollusca; Bivalvia; Myida; Myidae
Exons: 4
Source: RefSeq, a predicted model, not a curated record
AGGUGAAUUACACAUUAAUAUGUUUGGAAUCCGAAACACAAUAUAUUGUUUCAAUCUACGCCUCCAACGAAAAAGGUCUUUCUCCAACAAUAAACGACACGUUCAUAACAUUGAAGCACAUACCUGGCGAACAGGCAGAUUCUGACGUUGCAUUAAUUGGCGGAGUCGUCGGCGGUGGAAUUGUUGCAGUUUUAGUUAUCAUUGGAGUGGUCCUCAUUGUGAAGAAGUUCAGAACAUCAGCUAACCCAGCUGGACAAUCCGUAUCUGGUACAGACAGCCCUGGAUGUAAUGCAGCUCAACCUUACGAGGAUUUAUCAAAG